Molecule: long non-coding RNA, 740 nt
Filed under: Macaca nemestrina (pig-tailed macaque)
Lineage: Eukaryota; Metazoa; Chordata; Mammalia; Primates; Cercopithecidae
Description: lncRNA (ENSMNEG00000045807.1)
Source: RNAcentral
AUUCAGUCUACAUACUCUCUCCUGGGUGGCUGUUAGGACAUUCUUUAUGGUUUUAAUCUCCCCUCUCUGGCCAUUCCUUCUCAAUCUCCUUUGAGGGAUCCUUGCCUCAGCUUAGCCCUGAAAUAUAGUCUGCAACUUACCCAAGACUGCAUUCCUGGUGGGCCUCAUGCACACCCAUGGCCUCAACUGUCACUCAUCCAAUGACAAUGAUUCUUCCUGGAAGGAAGCUCCACGAGCCAAUGUUUCCUUUGGGAAAUGGCUUCGUUCCGCCUGUGGACUCACACUGUGGCGUGUCUGCAAACACUGCUGUGGUUUCUGUGGAGCUGUGUGUAUUAGGUCCGACUUCGCUGUUUGCUGGAAUGAGGAGCAGAGACCCCAAACGCACAGGAAGAACAGGCUGGCAUCGCCUCGGCCUGCCUCGUGCUGGAGAAGAGACCACACAGACUUGGCCUGGGUUCAGCAAAUCGCAACUCUUUAAGAUGGAAUAGCUUAGAGUUUAAGACAUAUCAAAAGUGUAAACAUAGUUGCUGACCUGAGUAGUUUUUAUGGGGGGAGGUAAUCCUUUGAGAGAAUUCAUCUAUCUAUACCUUAUGAUUUGUGCAAUUUUCUAUAUGAAUGUUAUGUAUCAAUAAAACAUUUGAAAAUGAAAAGGCAAGGAGCUGUCCAUUCUUUUGGUAAUUCGGGAGAUAGAGGUACAUCCUCAUUCCCUCUCCUCUCACAUUGCGUGAGCAUAGCCUCCC